This 472-nucleotide ribosomal RNA is filed under the name uncultured bacterium. RNAcentral describes it as "partial 16S ribosomal RNA". It matches the Rfam family "Bacterial small subunit ribosomal RNA", at positions 28 to 507 of the family's 1533-position model. The record is from RNAcentral.
GACGAACGCUGGCGGCGUGCUUAACACAUGCAAGUCGAGCGGAAAGGCCCUUCGGGGUACUCGAGCGGCGAACGGGUGAGUAACACGUGAGUAAUCUGCCCUUGGCUUUGGGAUAACUACCGGAAACGGUGGCUAAUACCGGAUACGACAACCGUCUGCAUGGGCUGGUUGUGGAAAGUUUUUUCGGCCAGGGAUGUGCUCGCGGCCUAUCAGCUUGUUGGUGGGGUAAUGGCCUACCAAGGCUUCGAUGGGUAGCCGGCCUGAGAGGGUGACCGGCCACACUGGGACUGAGACACGGCCCAGACUCCUACGGGAGGCAGCAGUGGGGAAUAUUGGACAAUGGGCGGAAGCCUGAUCCAGCAACGCCGCGUGAGGGAUGACGGCCUUCGGGUUGUAAACCUCUUUCAGUACCGACGAAGCGCCGAUGAUGGUGGUGACGGUAGGUACAGAAGAAGCACCGGCCAACUACGUG